Molecule: ribosomal RNA, 468 nt
Filed under: uncultured bacterium
Lineage: Bacteria
Description: partial 16S ribosomal RNA
Rfam family: Bacterial small subunit ribosomal RNA
Source: RNAcentral
GACGAACGCUGGCGGCGUGCUUAACACAUGCAAGUCGAACGGAAAGGCCCUGCUUUUGUGGGGUGCUCGAGUGGCGAACGGGUGAGUAACACGUGAGUAACCUGCCCUUGACUUUGGGAUAACUUCAGGAAACUGGGGCUAAUACCGGAUAGGAGCUCCUGCUGCAUGGUGGGGGUUGGAAAGCUUCGGCGGUUGGGGAUGGACUCGCGGCUUAUCAGCUUGUUGGGGGGGUAGUGGCUUACCAAGGCUUUGACGGGUAGCCGGCCUGAGAGGGUGACCGGCCACAUUGGGACUGCGAUACGGCCCAGACUCCUACGGGAGGCAGCAGUGGGGAAUAUUGCACAAUGGGCGGAAGCCUGAUGCAGCAACGCCGCGUGCGGGAUGACGGCCUUCGGGUUGUAAACCGCUUUCGCCUGUGACGAAGCGUGAGUGACGGUAAUGGGUAAAGAAGCACCGGCUAACUACGUG